AACGAACGCUGGCGGCAUGCCUAACACAUGCAAGUCGAACGAGACCUUCGGGUCUAGUGGCGCACGGGUGCGUAACGCGUGGGAACCUGCCCUUAGGUUCGGAAUAACUCCCCGAAAGGGGUGCUAAUACCGGAUAAUGUCUUCGGACCAAAGAUUUAUCGCCUUUGGAUGGGCCCGCGUUGGAUUCGCUAGUUGGUAGGGUAAAAGCCUACCAAGGCGACGAUCCAUAGCUGGUCAGAGAGGAUGAUCCGCCACACUGGGACUGAGACACGGCCCAGACUCCUACGGGAGGCAGCAGAGGGGAAUAUAGGACAAUGGGCGAAAGGCUGAUCCAGCAAUGCCGCGUGAGUGAUGAAGGCCGUAGGGUUGUAAAGCUCUUUUAACCGGGAUGAUAAUGACGGUACCGGGAGAAUAAGCUCCGGCUAACUCCGUG
Molecule: ribosomal RNA, 433 nt
Filed under: uncultured bacterium
Lineage: Bacteria
Description: partial 16S ribosomal RNA
Rfam family: Bacterial small subunit ribosomal RNA
Source: RNAcentral